Molecule: long non-coding RNA, 1208 nt
Organism: Chlorocebus sabaeus (green monkey)
Lineage: Eukaryota; Metazoa; Chordata; Mammalia; Primates; Cercopithecidae
Source: RefSeq, a predicted model, not a curated record
AGCCGCCCCGCCUCUCCAAGACCGCCCUGCCCCGUCCGGCCCCGCCCCCUUCCCGGCGGGAAGCUCUGAGCCACUCUGAACUGCGAACCGCGCAGAGUGGCCAGAGGCUAGAACAAAGUCACGAGUCUGACCUAAACUCAAAGGGAGAAGAGUAUGCAAGAGCCAAAGCAUGAGAUGGAAACCAUGGGGCCAUCUUUGAGUCUGUCUGCUGCAGAAAGAUGAACACAAAUCCUUGUGCAGAAAAGUCUGACACUAAAAGAGCCAACCUGACACUACUAUCCUUAGAAAAGCCUGCAUACAAGGUUGGCUGUCAUCUGGGAAUGAAGGUGAUCAAGAGUUCUCUCCACUGACAUAAACUUCCUUUAAAUAAUAAGGAUGACUCAUUGUGACUAGACUAUGCAAAUGGUGUGGUGUGUGUUAAACAUCUACUUUCCUUCUGGGAGUCUGGAAUUUUGGUAUAUGAUAAGCAGUGGGUACCUGCAAGACCAGCCUCAAAUAAAAACCCUGGGCACUGAGUCUCUAAAAAGCCUCCCAGUAGACAAUAUUUCACACGUGUUGUCACAACUCACUGCUGGAGGAAUUAUGCACACCUGUGUGACUCUAUUGGAAAAAGACUCUUGGAAUCUUACACCUGAUUCUUACUGACUUCUCCCCAUAAUCCUUUUUUUCCUUGUCGAUUAUGCUUUGUAUUCUUUCCGUGUAAUAAACCUUGGCCAUGAAUCUUGUGAAUUCUUCUAAUGGUCAUUGAACUGGGCGCUGGUCUUGAAGACCCUUGACACAGUUAACCUGUUUGGGAUUCCUACUAGAGUGUCGAUAUGAGUUGAAUUGUGUUUCCCCAAGAAGAUGUGUUUAAGUCCUAGCCCCCAGUAUCUGUGACUGUGACCUUAUUUGGAAAUCGGGUCUUUUCAGAUGUGAUCAACUUAAGAUAGGGUCAUACUGAAUUAAAGUGGUUCUUCAUCUAAUGUGACUGGAAUCCGUAUAAGAUCAGAAGAGAGAGAGAGACAGACACAGAGGGAAGAAGGCCAUAUGAAGAUGGAAGCAAAAGUUGGAGAUAUACUGCCAUAAAUCAAGAAGCACCUGGGGCAUGUAGACGCUGGAAGAGGAAAGAAAGAAUCCCCUGAGCCCUAAAGGCUGCAGAGGGAGCAUGACCCUUUGAAAACCUUGAUUUGGGACUUCUCGUCUCCAGAAUAGUGACAGAAUAAAUUAUA